RNAcentral lists this ribosomal RNA (301 nucleotides) under uncultured bacterium. Its description in RNAcentral is "partial 16S ribosomal RNA". It matches the Rfam family "Bacterial small subunit ribosomal RNA", at positions 509 to 807 of the family's 1533-position model. The record is from RNAcentral.
CAGCCGCCGCGGUAAUACGAGGGGGGCAAGCGUUGUUCGGAAUUAUUGGGCGUAAAGGGUGCGUAGGCGGCUUGACAAGUCUUGUGUGAAAUCUAUGGGCUCAACCCAUAGUUUGCACGGGAAACUGUCGGGCUUGAGAAUGGGAGAGGUGAGUGGAAUUUCCGGUGUAGCGGUGAAAUGCGUAGAUAUCGGAAGGAACACCUGUGGCGAAAGCGGCUCACUGGACCAUUUCUGACGCUGAUGCACGAAAGCUAGGGGAGCAAACAGGAUUAGAUACCCCAGUAGUCCCUGUCUCUUAUAC